Molecule: ribosomal RNA, 761 nt
Filed under: Streptomyces badius
Lineage: Bacteria; Bacillati; Actinomycetota; Actinomycetes; Kitasatosporales; Streptomycetaceae
Description: bacterial SSU rRNA
Rfam family: Bacterial small subunit ribosomal RNA
Source: RNAcentral
UCUGGGACAAGCCCUGGAAACGGGGUCUAAUACCGGAUAACACACGGUUCCGCAUGGGACGGUGUUGAAAGCUCCGGCGGUGAAGGAUGAGCCCGCGGCCUAUCAGCUUGUUGGUGGGGUAAUGGCCUACCAAGGCGACGACGGGUAGCCGGCCUGAGAGGGCGACCGGCCACACUGGGACUGAGACACGGCCCAGACUCCUACGGGAGGCAGCAGUGGGGAAUAUUGCACAAUGGGCGAAAGCCUGAUGCAGCGACGCCGCGUGAGGGAUGACGGCCUUCGGGUUGUAAACCUCUUUCAGCAGGGAAGAAGCGAAAGUGACGGUACCUGCAGAAGAAGCGCCGGCUAACUACGUGCCAGCAGCCGCGGUAAUACGUAGGGCGCAAGCGUUGUCCGGAAUUAUUGGGCGUAAAGAGCUCGUAGGCGGCUUGUCACGUCGGAUGUGAAAGCCCGGGGCUUAACCCCGGGUCUGCAUUCGAUACGGGCUAGCUAGAGUGUGGUAGGGGAGAUCGGAAUUCCUGGUGUAGCGGUGAAAUGCGCAGAUAUCAGGAGGAACACCGGUGGCGAAGGCGGAUCUCUGGGCCAUUACUGACGCUGAGGAGCGAAAGCGUGGGGAGCGAACAGGAUUAGAUACCCUGGUAGUCCACGCCGUAAACGUUGGGAACUAGGUGUUGGCGACAUUCCACGUCGUCGGUGCCGCAGCUAACGCAUUAAGUUCCCCGCCUGGGGAGUACGGCCGCAAGGCUAAAACUCAAAGGAAU